GUGUUGUCUGUUUUGUGGCGGCGGCCUGGCUGCUGGCUGCGAGACCCGACCUACCUGCACACGCCAUGUCCGCCCUCCUCCGCCUGCAUCCCAUGCCACGGCAUGGGCUGGCGGCGCUGGAGGGCUACACACACCCCUACCUGUCUGGCAGACCUGACUGACGAACAGCGAACACACAAAACAAA
RNAcentral lists this unclassified non-coding RNA (185 nucleotides) under uncultured fungus. RNAcentral's name for it is "sequence contains ITS1, 5.8S rRNA gene". Lineage: Eukaryota; Fungi. The record is from RNAcentral.